This 250-nucleotide ribosomal RNA is filed under the name uncultured bacterium. RNAcentral describes it as "partial 16S ribosomal RNA". It matches the Rfam family "Bacterial small subunit ribosomal RNA", at positions 524 to 773 of the family's 1533-position model. The record is from RNAcentral.
UACGAAGGGUGCUAGCGUUGUUCGGAAUUACUGGGCGUAAAGAGCGCGUAGGCGGCUAUUCAAGUCAGAGGUGAAAUCCUGGGGCUCAACCCUAGAAUUGCCUUUGAAACUGUAUAGCUUGAGUGUCGGAGGGGAUAGCGGAAUUGCUAAUGUAGAGGUGAAAUUCGUAGAUAUUAGCAGGAACACCGGUGGCGAAGGCGGCUAUCUGGACGACAACUGACGCUGAGGCGCGAAAGCGUGGGGAUCAAAC